This 74-nucleotide transfer RNA is filed under the name Ipomoea nil (Japanese morning glory). It matches the Rfam family "tRNA". From Rfam's summary of the family: Transfer RNA (tRNA) molecules are approximately 80 nucleotides in length. Lineage: Eukaryota; Viridiplantae; Streptophyta; Magnoliopsida; Solanales; Convolvulaceae. The record is from Rfam by way of RNAcentral.
GACCGAAUAGCGUAAUGGAUUAGCACAUCAUACUUCAGAUUAGAAGAUUGUGGGUUCAACUCCCACUGUGGUCG